This 918-nucleotide ribosomal RNA is filed under the name uncultured Klebsiella sp. Its description in RNAcentral is "bacterial SSU rRNA". It matches the Rfam family "Bacterial small subunit ribosomal RNA", at positions 8 to 916 of the family's 1533-position model. The record is from RNAcentral. Lineage: Bacteria; Pseudomonadati; Pseudomonadota; Gammaproteobacteria; Enterobacterales; Enterobacteriaceae.
AGAGUUUGAUCCUGGCUCAGAUUGAACGCUGGCGGCAGGCCUAACACAUGCAAGUCGAGCGGUAGCACAGAGAGCUUGCUCUCGGGUGACGAGCGGCGGACGGGUGAGUAAUGUCUGGGAAACUGCCUGAUGGAGGGGGAUAACUACUGGAAACGGUAGCUAAUACCGCAUAAUGUCGCAAGACCAAAGUGGGGGACCUUCGGGCCUCAUGCCAUCAGAUGUGCCCAGAUGGGAUUAGCUAGUAGGUGGGGUAACGGCUCACCUAGGCGACGAUCCCUAGCUGGUCUGAGAGGAUGACCAGCCACACUGGAACUGAGACACGGUCCAGACUCCUACGGGAGGCAGCAGUGGGGAAUAUUGCACAAUGGGCGCAAGCCUGAUGCAGCCAUGCCGCGUGUGUGAAGAAGGCCUUCGGGUUGUAAAGCACUUUCAGCGGGGAGGAAGGCGUUAAGGUUAAUAACCUUGUCGAUUGACGUUACCCGCAGAAGAAGCACCGGCUAACUCCGUGCCAGCAGCCGCGGUAAUACGGAGGGUGCAAGCGUUAAUCGGAAUUACUGGGCGUAAAGCGCACGCAGGCGGUCUGUCAAGUCGGAUGUGAAAUCCCCGGGCUCAACCUGGGAACUGCAUUCGAAACUGGCAGGCUAGAGUCUUGUAGAGGGGGGGUAGAAUUCCAGGUGUAGCGGUGAAAUGCGUAGAGAUCUGGAGGAAUACCGGUGGCGAAGGCGGCCCCCUGGACAAAGACUGACGCUCAGGUGCGAAAGCGUGGGGAGCAAACAGGAUUAGAUACCCUGGUAGUCCACGCCGUAAACGAUGUCGAUUUGGAGGUUGUGCCCUUGAGGCGUGGCUUCCGGAGCUAACGCGUUAAAUCGACCGCCUGGGGAGUACGGCCGCAAGGUUAAAACUCAAAUGAAUUGACGG